RNAcentral lists this ribosomal RNA (484 nucleotides) under uncultured bacterium. Its description in RNAcentral is "partial 16S ribosomal RNA". It matches the Rfam family "Bacterial small subunit ribosomal RNA", at positions 30 to 507 of the family's 1533-position model. The record is from RNAcentral.
AUUGAACGCUGGCGGCAGGCCUAACACAUGCAAGUCGAGCGGAUGAAGGGAGCUUGCUCCUGGAUUCAGCGGCGGACGGGUGAGUAAUGCCUAGGAAUCUGCCUGGUAGUGGGGGAUAACGUCCGGAAACGGGCGCUAAUACCGCAUACGUCCUGAGGGAGAAAGUGGGGGGUCUUCGGACCUCACGCUAUCAGAUGAGCCUAGGUCGGAUUAGCUAGUUGGUGGGGUAAAGGCCUACCAAGGCGACGAUCCGUAACUGGUCUGAGAGGAUGAUCAGUCACACUGGAACUGAGACACGGUCCAGACUCCUACGGGAGGCAGCAGUGGGGAAUAUUGGACGAUGGGCGAAAGCCUGAUCCAGCCAUGCCGCGUGUGUGAAGAAGGUCUUCGGAUUGUAAAGCACUUUAAGUUGGGAGGAAGGGCAGUAAGUUAAUACCUUGCUGUUUUGACGGUACCAACAGAAUAAGCACCGGCUAACUUCGUG